Molecule: long non-coding RNA, 1427 nt
Organism: Herpailurus yagouaroundi (jaguarundi)
Lineage: Eukaryota; Metazoa; Chordata; Mammalia; Carnivora; Felidae
Exons: 3
Source: RefSeq, a predicted model, not a curated record
CCCCCUCCCCGCCUGCCCCCCGCCUCGCUGAGCUGCACCACUAUCAGCAUCUUUCAGCGUGACAUUUUGGUCAGGCCUCCGUAGCUCCAAGAGUAACAUUGGCUUUGAAUCCAAGGGCCGGCAGGUGGGCCUCAGGCUGGGGGUGGGAUUAGUUACCCCUUUUAGAUCCCUGGCUGGGUUCAACCCGCUCGGCCUUGCGGUGGGGGGCCUUUCCUCGCUACGGGGAAGGGGCAGGCCCAGAGUCCCCCGGCCUGGAAGCGCGGCUAACUCUGGGCUCUGGGCCGCCCCUAACCUUCUGUGUCCUGGGCAGAGGGUGAAGGUUUACAAACACGAGGAAGCCUUUGAUCAGCACCAAAUCCCCAGGGUUCUGAAUGUUUUUUGUUCUAAGCUGCAGGCCGGGGCCACACUGUGCUUUGCUUCCAGCAGGGAAGACUGUGGGCACCACUGUAGAAACCGCGGCCGGAGCCGGGCACAAACACGGCCCCCUGCCCACGGAGAGAGCAGGAUGCAAACGAGCAGGUGAAUCUGAAGGAUAGCAGUAGCUUCUUUGGGACCCAGCACAGAGCCAGACAGAGCCGGGGUGUGGAAUAAAUACCCAGUGAAUGAAGGCGUGAAGAAGGGAGAGAGCGCAUGACACAAUUCGGGCAGGAGGGAACCAGACAUCCCACGUCUUUGCUGACUGUAGCCUGGGUGAUUUGCACGGUGCCUGCCGCACGCACGGGGAUGCUUCGGUGUUGGGCGGAUGAGUGAGCCAAGUUCGAGGUAGGGAGAUAGGACGAAAAGGGGAAGAAGAAGAGAAAGGAGGCAGAGAGAGGGAAGGGAGAGAGAAAAGGAAGUGGAGGAGGAGAAUGGAAGGGGAAGGAAGCGCCCCUGCAUGGAUAACGACGGUAACUUGGCGACCUCUGCUGGCCAGGACGGCCACUCGUCUGGGCUCAGGAAAGGGGAAUUGGGUCCUUUGGAGUUGUGGCACUCUGAAUUCAGGACUCAGGGAGGAGAUUCCCGGGGCCCUGUCAGCUGGGCUCCCACAGCCAGGGGUUCCAGCGGUCAGUGGCAGCCGGGUGAGGACCAGGAUGAGGUGAGCGAGCCUCUUACCAGGGCACUAAUUCGAGGCGGCACCUAAAAACCCAGUAAUCAAGACAAACAUUUUAAUGCAGUAUCUUAAAAAAUCAACUUGGCAAACGAUGGCCCACGAGCUGCCCGCCUGGUUUUGUAAACAAACUGGAUUGGAACCGGGAUCAGGAUUCGGGUUUCCUUUCUCGGUCACAGCUGAGAUUACGUGUGCAUCCCUUCACUAGUGCAGGUGUGCCCGGGUCCCCUCGGCCGGCACAUGCUGCGAGCGUGGUCAGCUCCCCUGAAGAGAACACUGAAGAAGCAUUCACUAUGCCCAACGUGGGUGGCUCCAUGCUGUGGCCCGCAGUCACAAGAGG